RNAcentral lists this ribosomal RNA (212 nucleotides) under uncultured Anaerococcus sp. RNAcentral's name for it is "partial 16S ribosomal RNA". It matches the Rfam family "Bacterial small subunit ribosomal RNA", at positions 144 to 354 of the family's 1533-position model. The record is from RNAcentral. Lineage: Bacteria; Bacillati; Bacillota; Tissierellia; Tissierellales; Peptoniphilaceae.
UAGCCGUUGGAAACGACGAAUAAUACCCUAUGACAUAAACUCUUCGCAUGAGGAGCUUAUCAAAGAUUUAUCGGUGUAAGAUGGACUCGCGUCUGAUUAGCUAGUUGGUGAGGUAACGGCCCACCAAGGCGACGAUCAGUAGCCGGCUUGAGAGAGUGUACGGCCACAUUGGGACUGAGACACGGCCCAGACUCCUACGGGAGGCAGCAGGG